This 74-nucleotide transfer RNA is filed under the name Varibaculum cambriense. Its description in RNAcentral is "tRNA-Pro". It matches the Rfam family "tRNA". From Rfam's summary of the family: Transfer RNA (tRNA) molecules are approximately 80 nucleotides in length. Their secondary structure includes four short double-helical elements and three loops (D, anti-codon, and T loops). Further hydrogen bonds mediate the characteristic L-shaped molecular structure. tRNAs have two regions of fundamental functional importance: the anti-codon, which is responsible for specific mRNA codon recognition, and the 3' end, to which the tRNAs corresponding amino acid is attached (by aminoacyl-tRNA synthetases). tRNAs cope with the degeneracy of the genetic code in two manners: having more than one tRNA (with a specific anti-codon) for a particular amino acid; and 'wobble' base-pairing, i.e. permitting non-standard base-pairing at the 3rd anti-codon position. The record is from RNAcentral. Lineage: Bacteria; Bacillati; Actinomycetota; Actinomycetes; Actinomycetales; Actinomycetaceae.
CGGGGCGUGGCGCAGUUUGGUAGCGCACCUGCUUUGGGAGCAGGGGGUCGCGGGUUCAAAUCCUGUCGCCCCGA